This 516-nucleotide ribosomal RNA is filed under the name uncultured bacterium. RNAcentral's name for it is "bacterial SSU rRNA". It matches the Rfam family "Bacterial small subunit ribosomal RNA", at positions 28 to 536 of the family's 1533-position model. The record is from RNAcentral.
GAUGAACGCUAGCUACAGGCUUAACACAUGCAAGUCGAGGGGUAACGAGAGGGAAGCUUGCUUUCCUUGUCGACGACCGGCGGAUGGGUGAGUAACGCGUAUCCAACCUGCCCUUCAGUAAGGGAUAGCCUUUCGAAAGAAAGAAUAAUACCUUAUGUGGUCGUCAGAAGACAUCAGACGACGAUCAAAGAUUUAUCGCUGAAGGAUGGGGAUGCGUCCCAUUAGGCAGUAGGCGGGGUAACGGCCCACCUAACCUACGAUGGGUAGGGGUUCUGAGAGGAAGGUCCCCCACAUUGGAACUGAGACACGGUCCAAACUCCUACGGGAGGCAGCAGUGAGGAAUAUUGGUCAAUGGCCGUAAGGCUGAACCAGCCAAGUAGCGUGCAGGAUGACGGCCCUAUGGGUUGUAAACUGCUUUUAAACGGGGAUAAAGUGAGCCACGUGUGGUUUAUUGCAGGUACCGUUUGAAUAAGGACCGGCUAAUUCCGUGCCAGCAGCCGCGGUAAAGGUAGUACA